Molecule: ribosomal RNA, 385 nt
Filed under: uncultured bacterium
Lineage: Bacteria
Description: bacterial SSU rRNA
Rfam family: Bacterial small subunit ribosomal RNA
Source: RNAcentral
UCGGGAAUUUUGGGCAAUGGGCGAAAGCCUGACCCAGCAACGCCGCGUGAAGGAUGAAGUAUUUCGGUAUGUAAACUUCGAAAGAAUAGGAAGAAUAAAUGACGGUACUAUUUAUAAGGUCCGGCUAACUACGUGCCAGCAGCCGCGGUAAUACGUAGGGACCAAGCGUUGUUCGGAUUUACUGGGCGUAAAGGGCGCGUAGGCGGCAAUUCAAGUCAUCUGUGAAAUCUCCGGGCUUAACUCGGAACGGUCAGAUGAUACUGCUUUGCUAGAGUGCAGAAGGGGCAAUCGGAAUUCUUGGUGUAGCGGUGAAAUGCGUAGAUAUCAAGAGGAACACCUGAGGCGAAGGCGGGUUGCUGGGCUGAUACUGACGCUGAGGCGCGAA